This 497-nucleotide ribosomal RNA is filed under the name uncultured bacterium. RNAcentral describes it as "partial 16S ribosomal RNA". It matches the Rfam family "Bacterial small subunit ribosomal RNA", at positions 28 to 507 of the family's 1533-position model. The record is from RNAcentral.
GAUGAACGCUGGCGGCGUGCCUAAUACAUGCAAGUCGAGCGAACGGACGAGAAGCUUGCUUCUCUGAUGUUAGCGGCGGACGGGUGAGUAACACGUGGAUAACCUACCUAUAAGACUGGGAUAACUUCGGGAAACCGGAGCUAAUACCGGAUAAUAUUUUGAACCGCAUGGUUCAAAAGUGAAAGACGGUCUUGCGGUCACUUAUAGAUGGAUCCGCGCUGCAUUAGCUAGUUGGUAAGGUAACGGCUUACCAAGGCAACGAUGCAUAGCCGACCUGAGAGGAUGAUCGGCCACACUGGAACUGAGACACGGUCCAGACUCCUACGGGAGGCAGCAGUAGGGAAUCUUCCGCAAUGGGCGAAAGCCUGACGGAGCAACGCCGCGUGAGUGAUGAAGGUCUUCGGAUCGUAAAACUCUGUUAUUAGGGAAGAACAUAUGUGUAAGUAACUGUGCACAUCUUGACGGUACCUAAUCAGAAAGCCACGGCUAACUACGUG